UAGCUCGAUAAGAAAAUGUAAUAUUCAAACUCGACUAAGAUUGUCUAGAACAAAAACAUUAUUUGAUCGUGAAGAAAUAUGAAACUAAUCAAUUUAUUCCUUACAAUAGUAAGCUGUAUUGUUGCCAGUGUAAUGACUGCUCCAUAUAAUUUUUACAGGUUAGGUAUAUCUAUGCCACUGUUGCCACCAGCAUAUCUAGGACCGUAAUGUCAAACGCUGGUUUAUAAGCCAUGGACCAUAGGAAAUAAUUUAAAUUAUUGUACUCAUAUUGUAUUUAAUAUAAAUAAAUUUGUUGUAAAAAAUGUUGUGAUAAUCCCUGCAAAAUAUAAUUGAAGUAUGUACUUCAAAUUUGUCCAAUUCACAA
Long non-coding RNA from Lucilia sericata (common green bottle fly), 364 nucleotides. RefSeq lists it as uncharacterized. NCBI's taxonomy places the organism in Eukaryota, Metazoa, Arthropoda, Insecta, Diptera, Calliphoridae. The record is from RefSeq and is a predicted model, not a curated record. The transcript is spliced from 3 exons.